AAAUGACCCCGUAACUUAGGGAUAAGGGGUGCCACCAUCAGGUGGCCGCAGAGAAUAGGCCCAAGCGACUGUUUACCAAAAACAUAGGUUUCUGCUAAGUCGCAAGACGAUGUAUAGGAGCUGACGCCUGCCCGGUGCUGGAAGGUUAAGGGGAUCUGUUAGAGCAAUCGAAGCAGUGAACUUAAGCCCCAGUAAACGGCGGCCGUAACUAUAACGGUCCUAAGGUAGCGAAAUUCCUUGUCGGGUAAGUUCCGACCCGCACGAAAGGCGUAACGAUUUGGGCACUGUCUCAACAACAGACUCGGUGAAAUUGUAAUUCCGGUGAAGAUGCCGGAUACCUGCGACAGGACGGAAAGACCCCAUGGAGCUUUACUGUAGCUUGACAUUGGGUCUUGGUACUACAUGUACAGGAUAGGUGGGAGGCUUUGAAACCAGGACGCCAGUUUUGGCGGAGCCAUCCUUGGGAUACCACCCUUGUAGUACUGGGACUCUAACCAUAGGCCAUGAAUCUGGUCUUGGGACACUGUCAGGUGGGCAGUUUGACUGGGGCGGUCGCCUCCCAAAAGGUAACGGAGGCGCUCAAAGGUUCUCUCAGUACGGUCGGAAAUCGUACGUAGAGUGUAAAGGCAAAAGAGAGCUUGAUUGCAAGACAUACAGGUCGAGCAAGGAUGAAAAUCGGACUUAGUGAUCCGGUGGUUCUGCGUGGAAGGGCCAUCGCUCAACGGAUAAAAGCUACCCUGGGGAUAACAGGCUUAUCUCCCCCAAGAGUCCACAUCGACGGGGAGGUUUGGCACCUCGAUGUCGGCUCAUCACAUCCUGGGGCUGUAGUAGGUCCCAAGGGUUGGGCUGUUCGCCCAUUAAAGUGGUACGCGAGCUGGGUUCAGAACGUCGUGAGACAGUUCGGUCCCUAUCCGUCGCAGGCGUAGGAAAUUUGAGAAGACCUGUCCUUAGUACGAGAGGACCGGGAUGGACGUACCUCUGGUGUACCAGUUGUCCUGCCAAGGGCAUGGCUGGGUAGCUAUGUACGGAAUGGAUAAGCGCUGAAAGCAUCUAAGCGCGAAGCCAACUUCAAGAUAAGAUUUCCCACCGCAAGGGUAAGACCCCAGAAAGACUAUCUGGUUGAUAGGUCGAAGGUGUAAGUGCAGCAAUGUAUUUAGCUUAUCGAUACUAAUAG
This 1174-nucleotide ribosomal RNA is filed under the name Clostridioides difficile. Its description in RNAcentral is "partial 23S ribosomal RNA". It matches the Rfam family "Bacterial large subunit ribosomal RNA", at positions 1720 to 2907 of the family's 2925-position model. Lineage: Bacteria; Bacillati; Bacillota; Clostridia; Peptostreptococcales; Peptostreptococcaceae. The record is from RNAcentral.